Molecule: non-coding RNA, 107 nt
Filed under: Jeotgalibacillus campisalis
Lineage: Bacteria; Bacillati; Bacillota; Bacilli; Caryophanales; Caryophanaceae
Description: TPP sequence
Rfam family: TPP riboswitch aptamer (THI element)
About the family: Vitamin B(1) in its active form thiamin pyrophosphate (TPP) is an essential coenzyme that is synthesised by coupling of pyrimidine and thiazole moieties in bacteria. The previously detected thiamin-regulatory element, thi box was extended, resulting in a new, highly conserved RNA secondary structure, the THI element, which is widely distributed in eubacteria and also occurs in some archaea.
Source: Rfam by way of RNAcentral
UCGAUACACUAGGGGUGCUCGAAAGGGCUGUGAUGAGAACAUUUUGUUCCGAUCCCUCAUUACCCGAUCCAGGUAAUACUGGCGUGGGGAAGUGUGGUGACGCAUCA